Molecule: non-coding RNA, 102 nt
Organism: Maylandia zebra (zebra mbuna)
Lineage: Eukaryota; Metazoa; Chordata; Actinopteri; Cichliformes; Cichlidae
Source: RefSeq, a predicted model, not a curated record
UUCAGCGCCACUGUAGAAGAUGUGCAAGAUGAGGAGAUCACAAAAGUUCUACAUCAGGUCCUGAAAGCUGAAUCAGAGGAGUCUUUGCAUAAUCUUAUUUUG